AUGCCUCCCACUGAAGAGAACCUGCAGGAGCUGUGUAAGCCAGAACUGCUCCAGAGGCUUCUGAAGGUUGAAAGCCUGCCAAUACUCUGGCUGGUGCUCAGAUGCCUCGUAGUGCUGUCUGAUAGACCUGAGACGGCAAGAGAAAUACGGACCCUGCUUCCAGAAGUCAUGGAGACCCUGCGGUUUGCCAGCACACCCAUUACCCUGAAGGUGCUGAAUAUCUUCAGAAAUGCAAUGUACCAUCUGGGGAAGAGGCACGCCAGUCCCUUUGCUCUGGAGCUAGCUGAGAAGAUCCUGCCUCUUUUUAAUCAUGUGUCAUGUGAAGUGCGAGAAGGUUCCAUCCGCCUCUUCAAGGAUGUGAUGGAUGCUGUGGUGUGGCUUAAGAAGAGAAGCAUGAAGAAGACCGUGCGCAGGGGCCUGCUCCCUCUGCUCUUUCAGAUGAGUGACGAGACCCCGAGUGUAGCACAGGUACGAAUUUCAGACCUGACCAGUGUGCAGGCAGUGGUGUGCUGA
This 513-nucleotide long non-coding RNA is filed under the name Coturnix japonica (Japanese quail). Its description in RNAcentral is "lncRNA (ENSCJPG00005003602.1)". The record is from RNAcentral. Lineage: Eukaryota; Metazoa; Chordata; Aves; Galliformes; Phasianidae.